UACAGAGGUCCCAAGCGUUGUUCGGAUUCAUUGGGCGUAAAGGGUGCGUAGGUGGCGCUGUAAGUCGGGUGUGAAAUUUCGGAGCUUAACUCCGAAACUGCAUUCGAUACUGCGGUGCUCGAGGACUGGAGAGGAGACUGGAAUUCAUGGUGUAGCAGCGAAAUGCGUAGAGAUCAUGAGGAAGACCAGUGGCGAAGGCGGGUCUCUGGACAGUUCCUGACACUGAGGCACGAAGGCCAGGGGAGCAAACGGG
RNAcentral lists this ribosomal RNA (253 nucleotides) under uncultured bacterium. RNAcentral's name for it is "partial 16S ribosomal RNA". It matches the Rfam family "Bacterial small subunit ribosomal RNA", at positions 524 to 776 of the family's 1533-position model. The record is from RNAcentral.